RNAcentral lists this ribosomal RNA (253 nucleotides) under uncultured bacterium. Its description in RNAcentral is "partial 16S ribosomal RNA". It matches the Rfam family "Bacterial small subunit ribosomal RNA", at positions 524 to 776 of the family's 1533-position model. The record is from RNAcentral.
UACGAAGGGGGCUAGCGUUGUUCGGAUUUACUGGGCGUAAAGCGCACGUAGGCGGAUCAUUAAGUCGGGGGUGAAAUCCUGGAGCUCAACUCCAGAACUGCCUUCGAUACUGGCGAUCUUGAGUCCGGAAGAGGUGAGUGGAACUCCUAGUGUAGAGGUGGAAUUCGUAGAUAUUAGGAAGAACACCAGUGGCGAAGGCGGCUCACUGGUCCGGUACUGACGCUGAGGUGCGAAAGCGUGGGGAGCAAACAGG